AGUAAAAAAUUUAUAAGAAUAUGAUGUUGGUUCAGAUUAAGCGCUAAAUAAGGACAUGACACAUGCGAAUCAUACGUUUAUUAUUGAUAAGAUAAUAAAUAUGUGGUGUAAACGUGAGUAAUUUUAUUAGGAAUUAAUGAACUAUAGAAUAAGCUAAAUACUUAAUAUAUUAUUAUAUAAAAAUAAUUUAUAUAAUAAAAAGGAUAUAUAUAUAAUAUAUAUUUAUCUAUAGUCAAGCCAAUAAUGGUUUAGGUAGUAGGUUUAUUAAGAGUUAAACCUAGCCAACGAUCCAUAAUCGAUAAUGAAAGUUAGAACGAUCACGUUGACUCUGAAAUAUAGUCAAUAUCUAUAAGAUACAGCAGUGAGGAAUAUUGGACAAUGAUCGAAAGAUUGAUCCAGUUACUUAUUAGGAUGAUAUAUAAAAAUAUUUUAUUUUAUUUAUAAAUAUUAAAUAUUUAUAAUAAUAAUAAUAAUAAUAUAUAUAUAUAAAUUGAUUAAAAAUAAAAUCCAUAAAUAAUUAAAAUAAUGAUAUUAAUUACCAUAUAUAUUUUUAUAUGGAUAUAUAUAUUAAUAAUAAUAUUAAUUUUAUUAUUAUUAAUAAUAUAUUUUAAUAGUCCUGACUAAUAUUUGUGCCAGCAGUCGCGGUAACACAAAGAGGGCGAGCGUUAAUCAUAAUGGUUUAAAGGAUCCGUAGAAUGAAUUAUAUAUUAUAAUUUAGAGUUAAUAAAAUAUAAUUAAAGAAUUAUAAUAGUAAAGAUGAAAUAAUAAUAAUAAUUAUAAGACUAAUAUAUGUGAAAAUAUUAAUUAAAUAUUAACUGACAUUGAGGGAUUAAAACUAGAGUAGCGAAACGGAUUCGAUACCCGUGUAGUUCUAGUAGUAAACUAUGAAUACAAUUAUUUAUAAUAUAUAUUAUAUAUAAAUAAUAAAUGAAAAUGAAAGUAUUCCACCUGAAGAGUACGUUAGCAAUAAUGAAACUCAAAACAAUAGACGGUUACAGACUUAAGCAGUGGAGCAUGUUAUUUAAUUCGAUAAUCCACGACUAACCUUACCAUAUUUUGAAUAUUAUAAUAAUUAUUAUAAUUAUUAUAUUACAGGCGUUACAUUGUUGUCUUUAGUUCGUGCUGCAAAGUUUUAGAUUAAGUUCAUAAACGAACAAAACUCCAUAUAUAUAAUUUUAAUUAUAUAUAAUUUUAUAUUAUUUAUUAAUAUAAAGAAAGGAAUUAAGACAAAUCAUAAUGAUCCUUAUAAUAUGGGUAAUAGACGUGCUAUAAUAAAAUGAUAAUAAAAUUAUAUAAAAUAUAUUUAAUUAUAUUUAAUUAAUAAUAUAAAACAUUUUAAUUUUUAAUAUAUUUUUUUAUUAUAUAUUAAUAUGAAUUAUAAUCUGAAAUUCGAUUAUAUGAAAAAAGAAUUGCUAGUAAUACGUAAAUUAGUAUGUUACGGUGAAUAUUCUAACUGUUUCGCACUAAUCACUCAUCACGCGUUGAAACAUAUUAUUAUCUUAUUAUUUAUAUAAUAUUUUUUAAUAAAUAUUAAUAAUUAUUAAUUUAUAUUUAUUUAUAUCAGAAAUAAUAUGAAUUAAUGCGAAGUUGAAAUACAGUUACCGUAGGGGAACCUGCGGUGGGCUUAUAAAUAUCUUAAAUAUUCUUACA
Molecule: non-coding RNA, 1650 nt
Filed under: Saccharomyces cerevisiae (brewer's yeast)
Lineage: Eukaryota; Fungi; Ascomycota; Saccharomycetes; Saccharomycetales; Saccharomycetaceae
Description: small subunit ribosomal RNA
Rfam family: Bacterial small subunit ribosomal RNA
Source: RNAcentral